Mastomys coucha (southern multimammate mouse) is the source of this 1063-nucleotide long non-coding RNA. RefSeq lists it as uncharacterized. NCBI's taxonomy places the organism in Eukaryota, Metazoa, Chordata, Mammalia, Rodentia, Muridae. The transcript has 3 exons. The record is from RefSeq and is a predicted model, not a curated record.
GUCAUUCUGCACUCAGUGCCCUCACUAUGAACUACCAUCUUCAGAAAAAGUGCCCACAGCUGCAUAAUCUACCAUACUUGACCAGAGUGGGAAAAGAGUAGAGGAAGCCUAGGAACAAAACAGACUGCAGGAGUGAAGAGUUCGGGGCAGCUGUUUGCAGCCUGUGAGAGGGAUGAUGGGAAUUUUUUUAAGGAUCUGUUCGUUGCACUCAGCUAAUCAAAAGCAGCACACCAGACUCCAGCAUCCCUACAUAUUCAGGUUGGAUGCAAGCAGGCCAUACUUGAACUUCCGGUAGACAGUGCCAUCUUGGCCCAUAUAGACGAUGUCGUCCUCGUCAUCCUCAUCGUAGUCCCGGUCCCUGUACUCAAUCACCUGGUCUUCAUCAAGAUAACUGCUCCUGUAGGAGGAGUAUGACACCGUGGGCUCUGACAGCUUUUCAUAGAGCCCCUUUGCCACAGGUCGGCUUCGGGACUUCCGCCACACGACCACAGCAGCCCCCAGCAGCAACAGCAGCAUGGUGCCUGAGGUUGCCAGCAGAGCAGUCUUGGUGUGCUCAUAGAACUCAGCCUCGCUGGCUGGAAGAAUGCACUCAUCUGAUGGAGGCCGUCCCAGAGGCAGCAGCAAAGGGGAAAAAAGAAACAAUUGGGAAAAUCAAACUGUGAAGUAAAGAACUUUUUUACUUCAACAUCUAAGAAUUACAUCUAAAAACGGUAGAAUCAUUUUUUUCUAGUUUCUUAGGAGGCAAUUGCUCUACAAAAACUCAGUAUGUAUCCCCACAGAGUCUACAUCUGAUAAAACCAACCAAUGCUCCUAGAAUGUUAAGUUUGAAAUCCAAAAGGGACCCAGAUCCCUGUUUCCUGGGCCAGUCUCUAAGGGUCCAACGCUCUCGGUGAUUCUUUGAUUCCUGAGGAAUGAGUUUUUGUUUUAGUUUUUUUCCUUUACUGCUAAACAAGAACUCCGAUUUUUUUCUUCUAAAAUGGAGUUAUCUCUCUAACUAUCUUUUAGACUGGUCCAACAUGGCUCUCCAACCCUUCAAGAACAAGAAAGCAUAAUUUAUAAAGCC